This 200-nucleotide ribosomal RNA is filed under the name uncultured bacterium. Its description in RNAcentral is "partial 16S ribosomal RNA". It matches the Rfam family "Bacterial small subunit ribosomal RNA", at positions 28 to 222 of the family's 1533-position model. The record is from RNAcentral.
GAUGAACGCUAGCGGCAGGCUUAACACAUGCAAGUCGAGGGGUAGAGGCUUUCGGGCCUUGAGACCGGCGCACGGGUGCGUAACGCGUAUGCAAUCUACCUUUUACAGAGGGAUAGCCCAGAGAAAUUUGGAUUAAUACCUCAUAGUAUAGCUCUACCGCAUGGUAGUACUAUUAAAGUCAACGAAAGAACAACGGUAAA